CCUACGGGUGGCAGCAGUGAGGAAUAUUGGUCAAUGGACGAGAGUCUGAACCAGCCAAGUAGCGUGAAGGAUGACUGCUCUAUGGGUUGUAAACUUCUUUUAUAUGGGAAUAAAAGGAUACACGUGUGUCUUUUUGUAUGUACCAUAUGAAUAAGGAUCGGCUAACUCCGUGCCAGCAGCCGCGGUAAUACGGAGGAUUCGAGCGUUAUCCGGAUUUAUUGGGUUUAAAGGGUGCGUAGGUGGUCGGUUAAGUUAGUGGUGAAAGUUUGCGGCUCAACCGUAAAAUUGCAGUUGAAACUGGUAGUCUUGAGUGGAGUAGAGGUAGGCGGAAUGCGUGGUGUAGCGGUGAAAUGCUUAGAUAUCACGCAGAACACCGAUUGCGAAGGCAGUUUACUGAACUACAACUGACACUGAGGCACGAAAGUGUGGGGAUCAAACAGGAUUAGAUACCCGGGUAGUC
This 460-nucleotide ribosomal RNA is filed under the name uncultured bacterium. Its description in RNAcentral is "partial 16S ribosomal RNA". It matches the Rfam family "Bacterial small subunit ribosomal RNA", at positions 338 to 795 of the family's 1533-position model. The record is from RNAcentral.